AAGUUCCACAAAUGGUGAAGAAAAUGGCAAGGGAAGACGCCUGGUAAAUGUUUCAAGUAAAAUUCAGCAAUGGAGUUUCUGGAAAGCCAAGCAUACAUAACCAAAGGAUAUUUUCAUAGAAUGGACUUCUGUAGGCCAAAAAAAUAAAGACAACUUCAAGAAGAGUGACAUUUAGAAGAAAGAACAUUCAAUUGAUA
Long non-coding RNA from Mytilus trossulus (common blue mussel), 197 nucleotides. RefSeq lists it as uncharacterized. The record is from RefSeq and is a predicted model, not a curated record. Lineage: Eukaryota; Metazoa; Mollusca; Bivalvia; Mytilida; Mytilidae. The transcript is spliced from 3 exons.